GACGAACGCUGGCGGCGUGCCUAAUACAUGCAAGUAGAACGCUGAAGAGAGGAGCUUGCUCUUCUUGGAUGAGUUGCGAACGGGUGAGUAACGCGUAGGUAACCUGCCUUGUAGCGGGGGAUAACUAUUGGAAACGAUAGCUAAUACCGCAUAACAAUGGAUGACACGUGUCAUUUAUUUGAAAGGGGCAAUUGCUCCACUACAAGAUGGACCUGCGUUGUAUUAGCUAGUAGGUGAGGUAAUGGCUCACCUAGGCGACGAUACAUAGCCGACCUGAGAGGGUGAUCGGCCACACUGGGACUGAGACACGGCCCAGACUCCUACGGGAGGCAGCAGUAGGGAAUCUUCGGCAAUGGGGGCAACCCUGACCGAGCAACGCCGCGUGAGUGAAGAAGAUUUUCGGAUCGUAAAGCUCUGUUGUAAGUCAAGAACGGGUGUGAGAGUGGAAAGUUCACACUGUGACGGUAGCUUACCAGAAAGGGACGGCUAACUACGUG
Molecule: ribosomal RNA, 497 nt
Filed under: uncultured bacterium
Lineage: Bacteria
Description: partial 16S ribosomal RNA
Rfam family: Bacterial small subunit ribosomal RNA
Source: RNAcentral